RNAcentral lists this ribosomal RNA (468 nucleotides) under uncultured bacterium. RNAcentral's name for it is "partial 16S ribosomal RNA". It matches the Rfam family "Bacterial small subunit ribosomal RNA", at positions 28 to 507 of the family's 1533-position model. The record is from RNAcentral.
GACGAACGCUGGCGGCGUGCUUAACACAUGCAAGUCGAACGGAAAGGCCCUGCUUUUGUGGGGUGCUCGAGUGGCGAACGGGUGAGUAACACGUGAGUAACCUGCCCUUGACUUUGGGAUAACUUCAGGAAACUGGGGCUAAUACCGGAUAGGAGCUCCUGCUGCAUGGUGGGGGUUGGAAAGUUUCGGCGGUUGGGGAUGGACUCGCGGCUUAUCAGCUUGUUGGUGGGGUAGUGGCUUACCAAGGCUUUGACGGGUAGCCGGCCUGAGAGGGUGACCGGCCACAUUGGGACUGAGAUACGGCCCAGACUCCUACGGGAGGCAGCAGUGGGGAAUAUUGCGCAAUGAGCGGAAGCCUGAUGCAGCAACGCCGCGUGCGGGAUGACGGCCUUCGGGUUGUAAACCGCUUUCGCCUGUGACGAAGCGUGAGUGACGGUAAUGGGUAAAGAAGCACCGGCUAACUACGUG